Caenorhabditis elegans is the source of this 21-nucleotide non-coding RNA. NCBI's taxonomy places the organism in Eukaryota, Metazoa, Nematoda, Chromadorea, Rhabditida, Rhabditidae. The record is from Ensembl.
UCUGUGUUUUUUUAAUCAAAA